UGCUUUACUCACUUAAGGGAGAGGCGGCCUUUCUGUCCCUACCUAGAUGUCGGACGUACCCAGCAGAAUAAGCGCAGGCUAUCUUUUGCCAGCAGCCGCUGUAAUACAGUGCCUGCAAGUUGUUAAUUUGACUUGCUGGGCGUAAAGCGUGCGUAGGCGGCUAAAUAAGUCAAAUGUGAAAUCCCCCGAGAUUAACUUGGGACCUGCAUUCGAUACUGGUUAGGUAGAGUAUGGGAGAGGAUGGUAGAAUCCCAGGUGUAGCGGUGAAAUGCGUAGAGAUCUGGAGGAAUACCGAUGGCGAAGGCAGCCAUCUGGCCUAAUACUGACGCUGAGGUACGAAAGCAUGGGGAGCAAACAGGAUUAGAUACCCUGGUAGUCCAUGCCGUAAACGAUGUCUACUAGCCGUUGGGGUCUUUGAGACCUUAGUGGCGCAGCUAACGCGAUAAGUAGACCGCCUGGGGAGUACGGUCGCAAGACUAAAACUCAAAUGAAUUGACGGGGGCCCGCACAAGCGGUGGAGCAUGUGGUUUAAUUCGAUGCAACGCGAAGAACCUUACCUGGCCUUGACAUACUAAGAACUUUCCAGAGAUGGAUUGGUGCCUUCGGGAACUUAGAUACAGGUGCUGCAUGGCUGUCGUCAGCUCGUGUCGUGAGAUGUUGGGUUAAGUCCCGCAACGAGCGCAACCCUUUUCCUUAUUUGCCAGCGAGUAAUGUCGGGAACUUUAAGGAUACUGCCAGUGACAAACUGGAGGAAGGCGGGGACGACGUCAAGUCAUCAUGGCCCUUACGGCCAGGGCUACACACGUGCUACAAUGGUCGGUACAAAGGGUUGCUACCUAGCGAUAGGAUGCUAAUCUCAAAAAGCCGAUCGUAGUCCGGAUUGGAGUCUGCAACUCGACUCCAUGAAGUCGGAAUCGCUAGUAAUCGCGGAUCAGAAUGCCGCGGUGAAUACGUUCCCGGGCCUUGUACACACCGCCCGUCACACCAUGGGAGUUUGUUGCACCAGAAGUAGCUAGCCUAACAGCAAUGAGGGCGGUACCACGGGUGGCCGC
This 1052-nucleotide ribosomal RNA is filed under the name Acinetobacter baumannii. RNAcentral's name for it is "bacterial SSU rRNA". It matches the Rfam family "Bacterial small subunit ribosomal RNA", at positions 422 to 1468 of the family's 1533-position model. The record is from RNAcentral. Lineage: Bacteria; Pseudomonadati; Pseudomonadota; Gammaproteobacteria; Moraxellales; Moraxellaceae.